This 1855-nucleotide ribosomal RNA is filed under the name human gut metagenome. RNAcentral's name for it is "bacterial LSU rRNA". It matches the Rfam family "Bacterial large subunit ribosomal RNA", at positions 813 to 2647 of the family's 2925-position model. The record is from RNAcentral.
GGAUAGGGGUGAAAGGCCAAUCAAACCCGGAGAUAUCUCGUUCUCCCCGAAAUAGCUUUAGGGCUAGCGUCGCGCGUUCACCGCCGGAGGUAGAGCACCGGAUGGACGAGGGGGCUUCGCCGCCUACCGAAUCCAACCGAACUCCGAAUGCCGGCGGCCCAGAGCGCGGCAGUCAGAGCAUGUGGGCUAAGCUGUGUGCUCGAGAGGGAAACAGCCCGGACCGCCCGCUAAGGUCCCCAAGUUCCAGCCGAGUGGCAAAGGAUGUGCGUCCGCCCAGACAACCAGGAUGUUGGCUUAGAAGCAGCCAUCCAUUCAAAGAGUGCGUAACAGCUCACUGGUCGAGUGGACAUGCGCCGACAAUACACGGGGCUAAGCUGGACACCGAAGCGGCGGGAUUUUAAUUCAUUAGAAUCGGUAGGGGAGCUUCCCAUGGGCGGAGAAGCCGGAGGGCGACCGACGGUGGAGCGCAUGGGAGUGAGAAUGCUGGCAUGAGUAGCGAGAGACGAGAGAGUAACUCGUCCGCCGUGAACCCGAGGUUUCCUGGGCAAGGCUAAUCCUCCCAGGGUCAGUCGGGGGCUAAGGCGAGGCCGGUAGGCGUAGCCGACGCGCAGCAGGCAGACAUUCCUGCACCGCGCACGCGGCGCUACGACCGACGGGGCGACGGAUGGGGGUGGCUCGGCGGGGUUCUGGACGUCCCCGUGAUGGAGCGCGGCCCGCGGACCAGGGAAAUCCGGUCCGCAUUGAGGGCGAGGCUCCGGACGAAGCGAUUGAGCGAAGCGAGUGAGCCCGAGGUCCCUAGAAAAACCCCUAGGCAGGCGCGUGCGCGCCCGUACCGCAAACCGACACAGGUGGGUGGGUAGAACAUACCGAGGCGAUCGGGUCAACCAUGGUCAAGGAACUCGGCACAAUGGCCCCGUAACUUCGGGAGAAGGGGUGCCCGCGCGUACGUGAACCGGCUUGCCCGGGGAGCGGAGGCGGGCCGCAGUGGAGAGGCCCAAGCGACUGUUUACCAAAAACACAGGACUCUGCAGAAGCCGCAAGGCGACGUAUAGGGUCUGACGCCUGCCCGGUGCCGGAAGGUCACGCGGAGGAGUUAGCCGUUAAGGCGAAGCCCCGAAGCCAAGCCCCGGUAAACGGCGGCCGUAACUAUAACGGUCCUAAGGUAGCGAAAUUCCUUGUCGGGUAAGUUCCGACCUGCACGAAAGGCGCAACGACUUGGGCGCUGUCUCGACCAUGGACCCGGUGAAAUUGCACUGGUCGUGAAGAUGCGACUUACCCGCGGAAGGACGGAAAGACCCCGUGAACCUUCACUGCAGCUUGGCAUUGGCCGCUGGUCCCGCGUGUAGAGGAUAGGCAGGAGGCACAGAUCCGGAGGCGCCAGCCCCCGGGGAGCCGCCCUUGGAAUACUGCCCUCGCGCGACCGGCGUCCUAACCCGAGGCCGUCAACCGGCUCGGGGACCGUGCCAGGCGGGCAGUUUGACUGGGGCGGUCGCCUCCUAAAGGGUAACGGAGGCGCGCGAAGGUCCGCUCGGGACGGUCGGCAACCGUCCUUUUGAAUGCAAGAGUACAAGCGGGCUUGACUGCGAGGCCCACAAGCCGAGCAGGUGCGAAAGCAGGCUCUAGUGAUCCGGCGGCCCCGAGUGGGUGGGCCGUCGCUCAACGGAUAAAAGGUACUCCGGGGAUAACAGGCUGAUCUUGCCCAAGAGUCCACAUCGACGGCAAGGUUUGGCACCUCGAUGUCGGCUCAUCGCAUCCUGGGGCUGGAGCAGGUCCCAAGGGUACGGCUGUUCGCCGUUUAAAGCGGUACGCGAGCUGGGUUCAGAACGUCGUGAGACAGUUCGGUCCCUAUCCUCCG